CCUACGGGAGGCUGCAGUGAGGAAUAUUGGUCAAUGGACGAGAGUCUGAACCAGCCAAGUAGCGUGAAGGAUGACUGCCCUAUGGGUUGUAAACUUCUUUUAUAUGGGAAUAAAAUGUUCCACGUGUGGAAUUUUGUAUGUACCAUAUGAAUAAGGAUCGGCUAACGCCGUGCCAGCAGCCGCGGUAAUACGUAGGAUCCGAGCGUUAUACGGAUUUAUUGGGUUUAAAGGGAGCGUAGGUGGAUUGUUAAGUCAGUUGUGAAAGUUUGCGGCUCAACCGUAAAAUUGCAGUUGAAACUGGCAGUCGUGAGUACAGUAGAGGUGGGCGGAAUUCGUGGUGUAGCGGUGAAAUGCUUAGAUAUCACGAAGAACUCCGAUUGCGUAGGCAGUUCACUGGACUGCAACUGACACUGAGGCUCGAAAGUGUGGGUAUCAAACAGGAUUAGAUACCCUAGUAGUC
Molecule: ribosomal RNA, 460 nt
Filed under: uncultured bacterium
Lineage: Bacteria
Description: partial 16S ribosomal RNA
Rfam family: Bacterial small subunit ribosomal RNA
Source: RNAcentral